Molecule: ribosomal RNA, 253 nt
Filed under: uncultured bacterium
Lineage: Bacteria
Description: partial 16S ribosomal RNA
Rfam family: Bacterial small subunit ribosomal RNA
Source: RNAcentral
UACGGAGGGUGCGAGCGUUAAUCGGAAUUACUGGGCGUAAAGCGCGCGUAGGUGGUUGAAUAAGUCGAUUGUGAAAUCCCCGGGCUUAACCUGGGAAUUGCAUUCGAUACUGUUCAGCUAGAGUGUGGUAGAGGGAAGCGGAAUUCCGGGUGUAGCGGUGAAAUGCGUAGAUAUCCGGAGGAACACCAGUGGCGAAGGCGGCUUCCUGGACCAACACUGACACUGAGGCGCGAAAGCGUGGGGAGCAAACAGG